Molecule: ribosomal RNA, 155 nt
Filed under: uncultured bacterium
Lineage: Bacteria
Description: partial 16S ribosomal RNA
Rfam family: Bacterial small subunit ribosomal RNA
Source: RNAcentral
AUUGCAUCAGAAACUGGUGAUCUUGAGUGGGCGAGAAGUAUGCGGAAUGCGUGGUGUAGCGGUGAAAUGCAUAGAUAUCACGCAGAACUCCGAUUGCGAAGGCAGCAUACCGGCGCCCGACUGACGCUGAGGCACGAAAGCGUGGGGAUCGAACA